RNAcentral lists this ribosomal RNA (755 nucleotides) under uncultured Thermoplasmatales archaeon. Its description in RNAcentral is "bacterial SSU rRNA". It matches the Rfam family "Archaeal small subunit ribosomal RNA", at positions 164 to 921 of the family's 1478-position model. Lineage: Archaea; Methanobacteriati; Thermoplasmatota; Thermoplasmata; Thermoplasmatales. The record is from RNAcentral.
UCAAUGCUGGAAGGCUUGGAUAUCGAAAGCGCAAGCGCCAGAGGGUGAGUCUGCGGCCUAUCAGGUAGUAGGUGGUGUAACGGACCACCUAGCCUAAGACGGGUACGGGCCUUGAGAGAGGGAGCCCGGAGAUGGGUUCUGAGACACGAACCCAGGCCCUACGGGGCGCAGCAGGCGCGAAACCUUCGCACUGCGCGAAAGCGCGACGAGGGGAGCCCGAGUGCCUCUCCAUUUCGGGGAGGCUUUUCACAAGCCUAAAAAGCUUGUGGAAUAAGGGCUGGGCAAGACGGGUGCCAGCCGCCGCGGUAAUACCCGCAGCUCGAGUGGUGGUCGCUUUUAUUGAGCCUAAAACGUUCGUAGUCGGCCUUGUAAAUCCCUGGGUAAAUCGGACCGCUUAACGGUUCGAAUUCCGGGGAGACUGCAAGGCUAGGGACCGGGCGAGGUCAGAGGUACUUUCGGGGUAGGAGUGAAAUCCUGUAAUCCCGAAGGGACCACCUGUGGCGAAAGCGUCUGACUUGAACGGCUCCGACGAUGAGGAACGAAGGCUAGGGGAGCAAACCGGAUUAGAUACCCGGGUAGUCCUAGCUGUAAACUCUGCCCGCUUGGUGUGGCCUGUCCUUCGGGGGCAGGCUGUGCCGGAGCGAAGGUGUUAAGCGGGCUGCUUGGGGAGUACGGCCGCAAGGUUGAAACUUAAAGGAAUUGGCGGGGGAGCACCACAAGGGGUGAAGCCUGCGGUUUAAUGGAGUCAACGCCGG